RNAcentral lists this ribosomal RNA (506 nucleotides) under uncultured bacterium. Its description in RNAcentral is "partial 16S ribosomal RNA". It matches the Rfam family "Bacterial small subunit ribosomal RNA", at positions 29 to 523 of the family's 1533-position model. The record is from RNAcentral.
AGUGAACGCUGGCGGUAGGCCUAACACAUGCAAGUCGAACGGCAGCACAGGAGAGCUUGCUCUCUGGGUGGCGAGUGGCGGCCGGGUGAGGAAUACAUCGGAAUCUACUUUUUCGUGGGGGAUAACGUAGGGAAACUUACGCUAAUACCGCAUACGACCUACGGGUGAAAGCAGGGGAUCUUCGGACCUUGCGCGAUUGAAUGAGCCGAUGUCGGAUUAGCUAGUUGGCGGGGUAAAGGCCCACCAAGGCGACGAUCCGUAGCUGGUCUGAGAGUAUGAUCGGCCACACUGGAACUGAGACACGGUCCAGCCUCCUACGGGAGGAAGCAGUGGGGAAUAUUGGACAAUGGGCGCAAGCCUGAUCCAGCCAUACCGCGUGGGUGAAGAAGGCCUUCGGGUUGUAAAGCCCUUUUGUUGGGAAAGAAAUCCAGCUGGUUAAUACCCGGUUGGGAUGACGGUACCCAAAGAAUAAGCACCGGCUAACUUCGUGCCAGCCGCCGCGGUAA